RNAcentral lists this ribosomal RNA (343 nucleotides) under uncultured soil bacterium. RNAcentral describes it as "bacterial SSU rRNA". It matches the Rfam family "Bacterial small subunit ribosomal RNA", at positions 27 to 373 of the family's 1533-position model. The record is from RNAcentral.
GGAUUGAACGCUGGCGGCAGGCCUAACACAUGCAAGUCGAGCGGUAGAGAGGUGCUUGCAUCUCUUGAGAGCGGCGGACGGGUGAGUAAUGCCUAGGAAUCUGCCUAGUGGUGGGGGAUAACGUUCGGAAACGGACGCUAAUACCGCAUACGUCCUACGGGAGAAAGCGGGGGACCUUCGGGCCUCGCGCCAUUAGAUGAGCCUAGGUCGGAUUAGCUAGUUGGUGAGGUAAUGGCUCACCAAGGCGACGAUCCGUAACUGGUCUGAGAGGAUGAUCAGUCACACUGGAACUGAGACACGGUCCAGACUCCUACGGGAGCAGCAGUGGGAAUAUUGGACAAGU